AAGUUUUGAAUAGGAAUUUUUAUUUAAAAAAAUGUUUGUUUCUUUAUAGGGAUGAUGUCACGAUAUUAUUGAUCGCGCUCCUCCACCAUAGAAACAAUUUUGAUUUGAGGUCGGUCUAAAAAUAGUUAUGUUUUGAAAAAUGAUUUAAAAGAUUUAGUUCACACGUAGGCACAUAAACAUUUACAUAUAAAUGCACAUAAUUCUUUUUGAAAUUCAUGGGAAGUGGUACUUCCGGGGACGCAUCGGGUUUAAAAAAUUGGAACUAAACCUCGUAGUUCCUUUGACUUUCCCACUAACGAUAGGUUAGGAGAUAGUACUUUAUAAUUUAUUUCAAAAUAAGCAGAGUCAUAAUCAAUCCAAAAUUUAAAGAAAGAUUGAAUUAUGUUGCAAGGUUUUGAUAUGAAAUAUUUUUAAACUAAGUAAAUUGCUAGAUGCAUAAAAUGAUUCUAAUAAAAAAAAAAGUUGCAUAAUGAAUGCGGAAAUCUUCAAGAGGACAAAUAGGAUUUCUAAUGAUAUUAACUAAUUUUAAGGGGAGGGCACAAAUAUGCACAAACAAAUUUUGUUAAAAAAAAAUUUACAAACCUAUAGACAUGAUUUCUAGGUGUUAAAAAAAACAAUGUAACAUAUAUAUGCAUGAUUUUGUAAAAUGAUAUGAACAAAUUAAACCUUAGACAUGGUUUCUAUAUGACAAGAUGAUGCUAAAAUUAUAACAUUAUUAAAACACCUAAUCGGCCUAUUAAGUUACUAUGAUUUGCUUUUAACAUUAACGGAAUCUAGUUUAUUAUUUUUUAGACUUCAUUAACAAAAGUGUCAAGCAAAUUGAAAAUUGAUUAGAUUAUAACACCUAUAAACAUUAAAUCUAGGUGGGUAAAGACAAACCUAUAGGCAUGAUUUCUAAAAAAUAUAACGAAAAAAUAAGCAUAUAAAUCCCCUCCCCUAGACGACCCCCAAAUAAAUUUAUUAUAUGAUCUUUAGGGUUACAAUUGUUACAUCAAAAAUAGCGAAAAAUAAAAAUAUAUAGAUAUAUAUAUACAUUCAAACAAAUAAAUAAAUCCUUCUUCAGUUAAUCUUCAACUUGAACUUCAAAUAUGAAACCUGUCAAAGUAAUUAAAUAACUACACAAGUAAUCACACUUGUUAGUUAAGGUGAGACAAUAUGCAAUCGUUUAAUGACGAAUUCUACAUACAAAACAAUAGCUUACACAAAUUGUGAAUGUAAAGAUAGUGUGAAUGUUAAGGAUACUAACCCGUUAAGCAAAACGAAUUGAUUCAACCUUUACUCGAACAAAGUAAUAAGAUAGCAAAGAAGAACCCUUGAAUAAUUACUGGAAUAUUAGUGUUUUGUUAAGUAGCAAGAGAACAAAUGAGAGAAGGGGAAUGAUGAGAGAGUUUUGUGAUUGAGAGUGAAUGAAUCCCCAUAAAUGAAUAAAAGGAGCUCUUUAUAUAGUAGAGGAGGGGGAAACAAAUAAGGGAAAUAAAUAUUUAAAGAAAUCAAUUAUAAUACAAUUUUCCUUAUUUUAAAGGAUAUCCAAAUCAGAAAAUAUGUUAUUACCAAAUAUAAACAAGUAAGAAUAAAAAUUUAAAAUAAAAAAUAUUUUUCUUUAAAUAAAAAAAAAGUUUAAAUCAGAUUUAAUUUAUUUUACCAAAAUAUGAGCAACUAAAUAUGACAAGGAAAUAAUAAGGUUGUCAUAAACAAACAAGUAAGAAUUAAUCAAUCCAAAUAUCAAUGGGAGGAGGGAUUAAUUUUCUUUAUAUAAAAAUAUUACAAAACAAAAUACCUUAAUAUAAAUCAUCCAUAAUUUUACCAAAAAUAAGCUAGUACGAAUCUAUUUUGAUUUAUUUAAGAUAAGCAAGUAAACAAUUAAAGAAAGCCAAUUUAUGCAAUGUAAAAUGAUAUAAGGAAAGGCAUAUUUUCAUGCAGAUUAGAGAUUUAUACUUACCAUAAUGGAAAUAUGUAAUAGUCUCAAGAAAAUCAAAAUUAGAGCUAAUGAACGACAUGCAUAUUAAUAUAACAAAAAUUUGUAGAACCUUAGCAUAAUUAAUUAAUUCUGAAAUCAAGCAAUCAAUUAUCAAAUCAAAAUAAACUACGAUUGAGAUAAAUGUACCAUUCAUUCUAAAAUUGAUGAGCAACAUAAUCAUUUACCAAGAUAUACACAAGAAUUGAUGAGUACUGCUUGAUAUCCAAGAUAUUCAACAACUUUAAUCGUUCUAAAAUUAGUGAAAUAAGCAAAUUCCGAAUUUAUUUAAACUGAUAUGAACAUGUAUGAGUUAUCCAAUCAUAUUAGAAAUUAAUUCAUAAUGAUUCUCAAGUCAAACAUAUGAACAAAAAUUUAUAGAAAAAGGAUCAUAAAAAGUUGAACGAAUUGAAAGUAAGCAAAGAAUAAUGAAUGGAAUGUAUUACCUUUACUGAUCUGCUUUGCAUAUAAUAAAAUAGGUUGCUACACGUUACCAAUGACUGGUGGCCGGAGUUUCGCUGGCGGAGAAACGUUCGCUUGAGAUCCCUUAGAGCUUGCUGCUGUUGUUGGUUGAAAUUGCUGCCUGCACUGCCGGUUGCUCGUUGCUGUUGUCCGCCUGCGACUGCUUGGUUGCUGAUGGGAGGCGCUGGUCACUUCUGUUUCUUGAGCUGCUGCUGUUUCUCGCGGGCUGGCAGUCCUGCAAAAAGGAUAGGAAAAAGGACGAUGGAGAAGAGGAGAGAAAGAGGGGGGAGAAGAGAAGAGGGAGCGACGGGAGAGGGGAGAAAGACGAAGAGGAGAGAAAGAGGGAGAAGAGGGACGACGGGAGAGGGGAGAAGGACGAAGAGGAGAGAAAGAGGGAGAAGAGGGACGACGGGAUAGGGGAGAAGAAGGGGAGAGGAAGAGAAUGGAGAGGGAGAAGAGAGAGGGAGUGGCUGGCGGCUGUUUCGCCGGAAAAAAAAAAGAAACGAGGGGAGAAAGAGAUUAAGGGGAGGUGGCGGCUGCCAGGGAGAGGGAGGGAGAAGAGUGGAAGGCUGGCGACUGCUGGGGGAGAGGAGAGGAGGACGGCUGGUCGAAAAAAGGGAGAGAGAGAGAAAAAGAGUGGGGGGCGGCUGGAGAGAGGAAAAAAAAG
Molecule: long non-coding RNA, 3083 nt
Filed under: Solanum lycopersicum (tomato)
Lineage: Eukaryota; Viridiplantae; Streptophyta; Magnoliopsida; Solanales; Solanaceae
Description: long non-coding RNA (SLYC_LNC000011)
Source: RNAcentral